CAAUGUGAUGCUUUGGAGGAAGCAUGUGCACAAGAGCAAUUAAUUAAGUAUUAAUAAUAAUUUCUUUUUACCAGAACAGUUUUCUGUUCCUUAAGAGUUUAAAUUCAUCAGAAAAGAAAAACCUCUCUAUAUUGGUCAGCAUUCAACACACACCACACUUUGUCUGGUCAUCAAGCCCAUGUGACUAGAAAGUUACAAACACAAAAAGUAAACCAGAUGUUGACCACAGUAUGGAGCCUGCCAUUUGAAAAUAAACCUUCCAGGGAUGUAUUAUUUUCAAUAUUUUGGAGUGGACUUUUUAAAAAUAAAGAUGUAUAUCAGUGGAAACAAGUUAAGUCACAUAUAUACCUAUCUAUACACUCAAUCAUACAUGCAUUAUUACAAUCAGAUUCUCACUAGGUGAGAGAGUUUCAUCCAAAAGAAUUAUUUGAAUGCAAUAGGCAAGUCUAAUGGAAAUAUCUCAAACAGGAAGGAAUCCCAAACUAUUUUUUAAUCAUUCAUUUAAUCAUUCAUGACAUCUUUACCUUCUACUGCUAAAUGAAUACAGUUGGCUGCCAUUUUGAUACAGCUCAUAACAGUCUCUUGAGUAAAAAGCAAGGUUAUUACCCCCUCUCUCCAAGCUAACCUAAAAAGUCUCCAUUGUAUCAAAAACAAAGGUCCCAAUGUUGAACACAUCCCAGCCAUGGAAACUUGGUGUAUCCUGAAAGUUGAUGGAUUUUACUCAGAUAACAUACUCCCAGUGUGGAUAUAACUAAGAGAUGACUUUAAUUCAGCGAAUGUUUUCCAGUUGUUUUCAAAAUAUGGUUCUAAGUGAUAGAAACUCCUUUGCUAAGGAUGAAAAGCUUCCUCCUCUUAAAAACACUUGGCAUAUCAAGGUCCUGCAGAAUAUUCCAAGCACUCAGCAGGUCAGAUCCUCCCUGA
RNAcentral lists this long non-coding RNA (921 nucleotides) under Marmota monax (woodchuck). The record is from RNAcentral. Lineage: Eukaryota; Metazoa; Chordata; Mammalia; Rodentia; Sciuridae.